UGACAGGUUUAUACCCUGAUACAGAUGAGA
This 30-nucleotide non-coding RNA is filed under the name Rattus norvegicus (Norway rat). The record is from RNAcentral. Lineage: Eukaryota; Metazoa; Chordata; Mammalia; Rodentia; Muridae.